Doryrhamphus excisus (bluestripe pipefish) is the source of this 456-nucleotide long non-coding RNA. RefSeq lists it as uncharacterized. The record is from RefSeq and is a predicted model, not a curated record. Lineage: Eukaryota; Metazoa; Chordata; Actinopteri; Syngnathiformes; Syngnathidae.
CUUUCAACGCUGGUGCAGCUUGCCGCUUGCAAGGGACAGAUCUUUCAAGCAGACCGAAGGCAGCCUCAUUAUUUAAUGUUUCCGUCUAGUAUUCUUAAACGAGAUGUUAGUUCAACGUUACAGUGUAAUUUUAGAAUUAAAUCGUCAAGUUUGGUCACAAAAGUUCAACAUUAUUGCUGCAAUGGAAUCCUUGGCGCGAGGAGCCACGUGGAGUCAAAGAUGGGUCACAUGAUUACACUAUGAAUGCCACAAGUCAAACUGGUUGACGUCCUUCUACUCCUGUCUCACAUGUGACUUAGGAGCCCUCUAUGGUUCAGACCUAGAUGGACGCCACUCCGUCUGAGGGUUCCUGACAAUCUGGCUUUCCCAACUGGGACUGUUCCUGUGACCAGACGAGGGGGAAGAAGCUGAAUGGUUGGCUUCAGAUCAGGCGUGCCCACCGAGCAUUCACCAGGC